AAGAUUGACCAAAGAGUGCAUGAGAUAUAUUAUCUAUAGCCGUCAAAACGUAGAUAAUACACUCGCAUGGAAGAUUAUCCAUAACCGGGUUGCAGGUUGUUAAAUGAAUAAUCGACCGAAAAGAAAGGCAUCAGGGUACCAGGACUAGGCAUGCAAAAGAUGACCAAUCAAAAGAGGAUAACGUUGCUAACUCGGAGCAAAUACCCAAAAGAAAGGGAAGACCCAAUGGGGACAAUACUGCUUGAUCAAGGCAAGUAUCCAAAGGGGAAAAGAGUAUCACUACCGCAAAGAGGGGAUUACAUCUACCGGUUUGUAGGCAGAAAACCACAGAAAAGUAACCAGUCAUCGACCAGGAUGAGCACAAAGGGUUAACUCUGCUAGGGGAUGAAAGUGGGAUUUUACGACUACCAGCCAGUAGGUAGAAAACCACAAAGAUAGGACUUACAACUACCGGUUCGUUGGUAGAAGCCACAAACAG
RNAcentral lists this long non-coding RNA (478 nucleotides) under Lathyrus oleraceus (garden pea). Its description in RNAcentral is "Pisum sativum (pea) long non-coding RNA (PSAT_LNC012659)". The record is from RNAcentral. Lineage: Eukaryota; Viridiplantae; Streptophyta; Magnoliopsida; Fabales; Fabaceae.